This 24-nucleotide non-coding RNA is filed under the name Arabidopsis thaliana (thale cress). Lineage: Eukaryota; Viridiplantae; Streptophyta; Magnoliopsida; Brassicales; Brassicaceae. The record is from RNAcentral.
GGGAAAUCUCAGGUGACAAGCUAA